GGGGGGGGGGGGGGGGGGGGGGGGGGGGGGGGGGGGGGGGGGGGGGGGGGGGGGGGGGGGGGGGGGGGGGGGGGGGGGGGGGGGGGGGGGGGGGGGGGGGGGGGGGGGGGGAAAAGGUCCCAGAUUCACCAAAAAUCACCCAAAAUUGUCCCAAAAUUACCCAAAAUGAUCCAAGAUUCACAAAAAAUGGUCCCAGAAUCACCCAAAAUCACCCAAAAUGAUCCCAGAUUCACCCAAAAUGAUCCUUAAAUUACCCAAAAUGAUCCCAGAUUCACCCAAAAUCACCCAAAAUUAUCCCAGAUUCACCCAAAAUCACCCAAAAUCACCCAAAAUCACCCAAAAUGAUCCCAGAUUCACCCAGUUUUUCCCAAAAUCACCCAAAAUGAUCCCAGAAACUGCUCUGGGGGGGGACAGAAACUGCUCUGGGGACACAAACUGCUGGGGGGGGGGGGGGGGGGGGGGGGGGGGGGGGGGGGGGGGGGGGGGGGGGGGGGGGGGGGGGGGGGGGGGGGGGGGGGGGGGGGGGGGGGGG
RNAcentral lists this long non-coding RNA (532 nucleotides) under Ficedula albicollis (Collared flycatcher). RNAcentral describes it as "lncRNA (ENSFALG00000023101.1)". The record is from RNAcentral. Lineage: Eukaryota; Metazoa; Chordata; Aves; Passeriformes; Muscicapidae.